Non-coding RNA from Heterocephalus glaber (naked mole-rat), 252 nucleotides. Lineage: Eukaryota; Metazoa; Chordata; Mammalia; Rodentia; Bathyergidae. The record is from RefSeq and is a predicted model, not a curated record.
UGUUGAUUUUCUUGGAGAAGAUUGCUGAAGGCUGGUUUUCCUGCAGGGAACCUGGCUGUUCUCCUUUUCUCGUCAUCACAGGAGCUCAGAUUUGAGCAGUCUUGUAACUUCCCCAGCCUUGAUUUUCUUCAUCCCAACAAUGAGGAACUGAACAAUAGGCAAGACAAACCCCAAGAAAGAAACUAGCAGAACAAAACAAAACAAAAAGGAGCAGAGGAUGACAGGAAGAGAAGAAUUGCUCUGAGAAAGAAU